AUACUUUUUACGUAUUUAAGUAGUAUUAGUUAAGUUCUUGAAAUUUAAAAGAUUUGGCGGUAUUUUAGUCUAUUCAGAGGAACCUGGUUUGUAAUCGAUAGUCCACGAUGGAUCUUACUUAAAUUUGUUUUAAUAGUUUAUAUGUCGUUGUUUAUAGAAUAUUUUUUAAAAAUAAUAAUUUUCUAAAAUUUUUAUUAAAAUUUAUGUCAGAUCAAGAUGUAGCUAAUAUUUAAGUUUAUAGUGGGUUACAGUGUUUAAUUUUUGGAUAUAAGUUUGUAAUUGAUUUAUUGAAAUUGGAUUUGAAAGUAAAAUUAUAGAGAUUAAUAGU
This 328-nucleotide ribosomal RNA is filed under the name Claraeola sicilis. Its description in RNAcentral is "partial 12S ribosomal RNA". Lineage: Eukaryota; Metazoa; Arthropoda; Insecta; Diptera; Pipunculidae. The record is from RNAcentral.